RNAcentral lists this ribosomal RNA (155 nucleotides) under Xylariaceae sp. Its description in RNAcentral is "partial large subunit ribosomal RNA". Lineage: Eukaryota; Fungi; Ascomycota; Sordariomycetes; Xylariales; Xylariaceae. The record is from RNAcentral.
UGCACUUCGCUAGGAUGAGGCCAGCAUCGGUUUCCGUAGGGGGAUAAAAGCCUUAGGAAUGUGGCUCUUCGGAGUGUUAUAGCCUAUUGUAUAAUACCCUUGUGGGGACCGAGGUACGCGCUCGGCAAGGAUGCUGGCGUAAUGGUCAUCAACGA